UACGAAGGGGGCUAGCGUUGUUCGGAGUUACUGGGCGUAAAGGGUGCGUAGGCGGUUGUUUAAGUUUGGUGUGAAAUCUCCCGGCUCAACUGGGAGGGUGCGCCGAAUACUGAAUGACUAGAGUGCGGGAGAGGAGAGUGGAAUUCCUGGUGUAGCGGUGAAAUGCGUAGAUAUCAGGAGGAACACCGGUGGUGUAGACGGCUCUCUGGACCGUAACUGACGCUGAGGCACGAAAGCGUGGGUAGCAAACAGG
Molecule: ribosomal RNA, 253 nt
Filed under: uncultured bacterium
Lineage: Bacteria
Description: partial 16S ribosomal RNA
Rfam family: Bacterial small subunit ribosomal RNA
Source: RNAcentral